This 394-nucleotide ribosomal RNA is filed under the name uncultured bacterium. RNAcentral describes it as "bacterial SSU rRNA". It matches the Rfam family "Bacterial small subunit ribosomal RNA", at positions 30 to 428 of the family's 1533-position model. The record is from RNAcentral.
AUUGAACGCUGGCGGCAUGCCUUACACAUGCAAGUCGAACGGCAGCGGACCUUCGGGUGCCGGCGAGUGGCGAACGGGUGAGUAAUAUAUCGGAACGUACCUUUCAGUGGGGGAUAACGUAGCGAAAGUUACGCUAAUACCGCAUAUUCUGUGAGCAGGAAAGCAGGGGAUCGCAAGACCUUGCGCUGAUUGAGCGGCCGAUAUCAGAUUAGCUAGUUGGUGAGGUAAAGGCUCACCAAGGCGACGAUCUGUGGCGGGUCUGAGAGGAUGAUCCGCCACACUGGAACUGAGACACGGUCCAGACUCCUACGGGAGGCAGCAGUGGGGAAUUUUGGACAAUGGGCGCAAGCCUGAUCCAGCCAUGCCGCGUGAGUGAAGAAGGCCUCGGUUGUAA